UGAAUAUACUUUUCAUACAUUUACAUGCUGACAGCAUGUAAGCCGGUAAGCCGGUCGAUCAUCUCUGGAUUAGCAAAUUCAUGGAGAAAAUUGAUAAUAAUUACUCGUACAUGUAUCUACUUAACAUGAAGAUAGUUGAAAAAAUACAAGAAAUGGACAGGAAUAAUACAUCAAAAGGUGAGCCUUUGACAGAAUGUCAAACUUGACUUAUUUGACUUGAGUGAGCCAGAAUAUGUCUGGGUCAAAUCACAAACAGCGAAAUGAGUAUAAAUCGGGUCCUUCUGGUCAUUGUCGGCUGCACUCUGGUGUUUGAGAAUAGCUCUUAGAUUUUUUGGUUUCACGUUACAAAAAUGUAUAGACAAAACAAAUAUACAUAAUAUGUGAACUAAACCUUUGCCCAUUAAACAUUAUUAAUUAUAAUUGUAUAUUCAACUAAACCUGAUCAUUUGAAUGAUAUCAAAACAAGUGUUAAUUGUAAUAAAUUGUUGUUGUUUGAUGUAGGGUGUCUUGCGCGGAUAGCACGGAAUGCGAUCACUGAUGCCUUGCGAUUAGAGAAGGGCGAAGUAAUAAGGCAUCGCAAACUGAAAUGGCUCCUCGAAGACAAGGUUAUCAAAGAAUUGAACAAGAAGUUGAUGGCAGAACCGCCAAAGAUCGGUAUUUUCCAGUUUCUGAGUGCUGCGGCGAACAGAUGUCUGACAAAAUUUCCUACAGAAAGCACAGAGGAUGGUGAAGAAGAUUGUUUUGCCAGCUGAACACAACCUUGUAAAAUGGUUGUACUUCCUUCUUAAAUAGUUUGCAAUCUAUGAAAAAUUACCAGCCAGUCAAAAAAUUAUAUUAUUCCUAAGGUAGGCUUAUAUCAUUGAACUUAUUAGUUAUCUAUUGAUUCUAUUAUAUGUAAAUAUAUUAUGAUUAUGUAUAAGUUUACAAGAUGUAUUUAUUCAUUAUUCAAUUAUUUUUCAAAUUUUAAUGAAUUAUGAAUAUUAAGUUAUUCAUAUUGAAAUGAAUGAUUGAAAUUACAUUAAUUCUUUCAUCCAAAAAACGUUGUACAAUACACAGAAAAAGCAUUUUAUCAUGAGACAUGUUUGUGCGACCGACCGGUUUAAAGAAUAUGUUGGACAGACAAAAUUCAAUACAAAUUUGAAAUAUAUCAAUUUAUUGAUUGAUAUUUAAGAUAAGGAUUGGAUAUUUAUUUGGAUAAUUCUAUCACAAUAAAGAAGUAACUAUUAUUGAUUAAGAUUCACAUAAUAAAUUAAUCUAUUGACAGAGGUGCCUUGAUUGAAUUAAAUAUUCUUUUCAACCCCGAUGAAGCUUCUUAUUCAAUUUGUAAUAAUUUAAACAGAGAUGCGACAUUCUUUUAGCAUCUAAAUGGAUAAGAUACUCCUUCACUUUCUAAACAAUCACUUCAGGUUUGAAAUGUCAUUUUUCUAAACAUAAGAGUUUUAUGGCGCAGCCUAUUCAAAAUAUACUUCAAUUUGUAAUUUAUGAGCUAUUAGUUUGUUGGGCAUUAUAAGGUAAGGAUAGGUGUAAAAGGUUUGUGAUUGAUGCUUGUGCUUCAUUUGCGAAUUAAAAAUUGUAGUUAUACAUUUUUAAAAGACAUUUUUUUAUCUAUUUCUAUUAUCUUAUAAAGAAUAACAGUAUAUUUUAUUGUUCAUUGGAUUUAUUGAGAAUAGUUUUUCUUCAAAGUAGAUUCAAAUGCUGAAAUAUUUUCCUAUUUGUAGCCAUAAUGUAAUAUUUAUUGAAAUAAAUUCUCGGCUCUUUUUAUACGGAACUUACUUAAUUCCUGUUGAAUACAAGUAGCCUGUAAUCAUUUCACACCAACAUUUCUCUCAAAUUUAGGUAAUGUUAUACCACUGACUCCACGAUAAAUUUCUCAAUGUUAAUCUAAGGAAAAUAUAAAGUUCGCUAUCGAAGAAAAAUAAUUUUAAUUGAGUUUCGAAUCAAUUGUAAAGAAGAGUGAAUCUAUUGAAUAAACUAUUCAUCAGUCAACUUGGACUGAAUCUUAAGGGUGAGUAGGCAAUCGCUAAAGAGAAAUAGAUCCAAUAUCUCUUGUUUCACAACUCAUUAAAGCUCUGUGAUUGUUCCAUAUAUCAGUAGCCCAACGAACAGUCAUGAAAUAAAUUACUUCAAAAAGACUUAUAAAACUAAACCCAAGAAACAAUCUCAUCAAGCCUCCAAUAUUUGCUGGAAAAAUAAAACAAAAUUUCAUUUAAAACAAUCGUUUAGCCUUCAUAUUAUAUUUCAUUGCAGAAAAAUAUCCAUGAUAAUAUAUCAAUGAUAAUAUUUUAAAUAAGCUUUUAAAAAGCAUGUAUCCUUUUAUAUCAAUAACAUUCUCUUAUAAUUUUCUAGUAAUCUUUAUCUAUUUUAUUCAGAAGUAGAGUAAUAGAAAUAAUACACUACAAUUUUACAUUAUGGGCGUAAUCUUAUAGUUUCUUAUAAAUGUAUAAUAAUGAUAAGUUUUUAUUCAUAUGAUUACCAUGUAUAAUUAAUCAUGAGAUAAUGAAAAGUUUGAUUAAUAUUCUUUCAAAGAAAUUAUGUGUACUUGAUUGUUAAGAUUUUCAUGAAUUUAUAAUCCACCAUAAUUGAAACAUGAAACUGGUCAGAUGAGUCAAUAAUUUUGUACAAAAUAGUUCUUAAACUGAGAAGAUAUCAUCUUCUUAUACUCACCAAUAAAAUCAGAUACUGUUACUAUUGCCACCCUCUGGAUAUUGAUUGAUAACUGAAUUUGUUUUGCAAAGGAAAGUCGCAACAG
Long non-coding RNA from Nilaparvata lugens (brown planthopper), 2749 nucleotides. RefSeq lists it as uncharacterized. The transcript is spliced from 2 exons. The record is from RefSeq and is a predicted model, not a curated record. Lineage: Eukaryota; Metazoa; Arthropoda; Insecta; Hemiptera; Delphacidae.